RNAcentral lists this ribosomal RNA (327 nucleotides) under uncultured eukaryote. RNAcentral's name for it is "partial 18S ribosomal RNA". It matches the Rfam family "Eukaryotic small subunit ribosomal RNA", at positions 1470 to 1796 of the family's 1831-position model. The record is from RNAcentral.
CCCUUAGAUGUUCUGGGCCGCACGCGCGCUAAACUGACGAAUGCAACGAGCUUAUAACCUUGGCCGAAAGGUCUGGGUAAUCUCCAAAUUUCGUCGUGAUGGGGAUAGAUUAUUGCAAUUAUUAAUCUUCAACGAGGAAUGCCUAGUAAGCGCAAGUCAUCAGCUUGCGUUGAUUACGUCCCUGCCCUUUGUACACACCGCCCGUCGCUCCUACCGAUUGAAUGGUCCGGUGAAGCGCUCGGACCGCGGCCUCUUGACGGUUCGCUGUCGAUUGGCUGUGGGAAGUUCGUUAAACCUUAUCAUUUAGAGGAAGGAGAAGUCGUAACA